GCAGCCGCCGCGGUAAUACGUAGGUGGCAAGCGUUGUCCGGAAUUAUUGGGCGUAAAGGGCUCGCAGGCGGUUUCUUAAGUCUGAUGUGAAAGCCCCCGGCUCAACCGGGGAGGGUCAUUGGAAACUGGGAAACUUGAGUGCAGAAGAGGAGAGUGGAAUUCCACGUGUAGCGGUGAAAUGCGUAGAGAUGUGGAGGAACACCAGUGGCGAAGGCGACUCUCUGGUCUGUAACUGACGCUGAGGAGCGAAAGCGUGGGGAGCGAACAGGAUUAGAUACCCCGGUAGUCCCUGUCUCUUAUAC
Molecule: ribosomal RNA, 302 nt
Filed under: uncultured bacterium
Lineage: Bacteria
Description: partial 16S ribosomal RNA
Rfam family: Bacterial small subunit ribosomal RNA
Source: RNAcentral